RNAcentral lists this ribosomal RNA (253 nucleotides) under uncultured prokaryote. Its description in RNAcentral is "partial 16S ribosomal RNA". It matches the Rfam family "Bacterial small subunit ribosomal RNA", at positions 524 to 776 of the family's 1533-position model. The record is from RNAcentral.
UACGGAGGGUGCAAGCGUUAUCCGGAUUCACUGGGUUUAAAGGGUGCGUAGGUGGGUUGGUAAGUCAGUGGUGAAAUCCCCGAGCUUAACUUGGGAACUGCCAUUGAUACUAUCAGUCUUGAAUAUUGUGGAGGUUAGCGGAAUAUGUCAUGUAGCGGUGAAAUGCUUAGAUAUCUGGAGGAACACCGGUGGCGAAGGCGACAUCCUGGACCGGUAUUGACGCUGAGGCGCGAAAGCCAGGGGAGCAAACGGG